Molecule: ribosomal RNA, 774 nt
Filed under: uncultured Neocallimastigales
Lineage: Eukaryota; Fungi; Neocallimastigomycota; Neocallimastigomycetes; Neocallimastigales
Description: partial large subunit ribosomal RNA
Rfam family: Eukaryotic large subunit ribosomal RNA
Source: RNAcentral
UAUGUGAUCGUCUCUUGCAUAUCAAUAAGCGGAGGAAAAGAAACUAACAAGGAUUCCCCUAGUAACGGCGAGUGAAGCGGGAAGAGCUCAAAUUUGAAAUCUUAAAGGGUUUCCCUUUACGAAUUGUAGUUUAAAGAAGUGUUUUCUGUUGAGGUUUUGGUAAAAGUUCUUCGGAAUAGGACAUCAUAGAGGGUGAGAAUCCCGUAUUUGACCUUUACUUUCAACUUUGUGAUACACUUUCAAAGAGUCGGAUUGUUUGGGAAUGCAGUCCAAAAUGGGUGGUAAACUUCAUCUAAAGCUAAAUAUUGGCGAGAGACCGAUAGCGAACAAGUACCGUGAGGGAAAGAUGAAAAGAACUUUGAAAAGAGAGUUAAACAGUACGUGAAAUUGUCAAAAGGGAAGCGUUUGACACCAGUGUUGUUUUUCUGAAAAUCAAUUAAAGAACUGUUUAUGCUAAGUUGUUUAGACUUUAUCAGCUAUCUGUUUAGUUUUGAGCUUUUCUUUAAUGCACUUUUCAGUUAACAAGUCAACAUCAAUUUCUUUUGCUGUAAAAAAGCUUGAGGAAGGUGGCUUGAGAUUCGUCUUAAGUGUUUAUAGCCUCUUGCCUAUGCAGUCGGAGAGAUUGAGGUCUGCAGCGUAGAUCCUUCGGGGCUAAAUGCAUUUGUGCUAAGUUAUAGCAUUUUAUAGACAACUUGUUGACUAUGAUUUGUCUUGUAGCUUACUCGCUUAUGUUAUUUUACCUACGCUUAGGAUGUUGAAGACUCUACAGAGAUA